RNAcentral lists this microRNA precursor (75 nucleotides) under Ovis aries (sheep). RNAcentral's name for it is "miRNA (ENSOARG00000025072.1)". The record is from RNAcentral. Lineage: Eukaryota; Metazoa; Chordata; Mammalia; Artiodactyla; Bovidae.
UUGGGUUGGCCAUAACAUUCAUUUGGGUUUUCCCAUAACAUCUUGCAAAAACCCCGAAUGAACUUUUUGGCUUAC